This 339-nucleotide unclassified non-coding RNA is filed under the name uncultured fungus. RNAcentral describes it as "partial contains 5.8S ribosomal RNA and internal transcribed spacer 2". The stretch from base 1 to 134 matches the Rfam family "5.8S ribosomal RNA", at positions 22 to 154 of the family's 154-position model. Lineage: Eukaryota; Fungi. The record is from RNAcentral.
UGGUUCUGGCAUCGAUGAAGAACGCAGCGAAAUGCGAUAAGUAAUGCGAAUUGCAGAAUUUCAGUGAGUCAUCGAAUCUUUGAACGCACAUUGCGCCCUUUGGUAUUCCGAAGGGCAUGCCUGUUCGAGCGUCAUUAUCACCUCUCAAGCCUGGCUUGUUGUUGGACCUCCAGGUCCGGGUUCACCCCCGACCGGUCUCAAUAGUAAUGACGGCGUCCGUGGGACUCUCGGUGCAACGAGCUUUUUACGAGGCACGCACAGAGUCGAAAAGUCCCCCGGCACGGUCUCCCAAAUCUUUUUUCUAAGGUUGACCUCGGAUCAGGUAGGAAUACCCGCUGA